This 68-nucleotide transfer RNA is filed under the name Marmota monax (woodchuck). It matches the Rfam family "tRNA". Rfam says of the family: Transfer RNA (tRNA) molecules are approximately 80 nucleotides in length. Their secondary structure includes four short double-helical elements and three loops (D, anti-codon, and T loops). Further hydrogen bonds mediate the characteristic L-shaped molecular structure. tRNAs have two regions of fundamental functional importance: the anti-codon, which is responsible for specific mRNA codon recognition, and the 3' end, to which the tRNAs corresponding amino acid is attached (by aminoacyl-tRNA synthetases). tRNAs cope with the degeneracy of the genetic code in two manners: having more than one tRNA (with a specific anti-codon) for a particular amino acid; and 'wobble' base-pairing, i.e. permitting non-standard base-pairing at the 3rd anti-codon position. Lineage: Eukaryota; Metazoa; Chordata; Mammalia; Rodentia; Sciuridae. The record is from Rfam by way of RNAcentral.
GUUGUGGCUCAGUGGUAGAGCGCUUGCCUAGCAUGUGUGAGGCACUGGGUUCGAUUCUCGGCACAACA